AUGGGAGGAAAUACUCUUAGCCAUGGUUAUCUUUGGGUGAUUUUUUCCCACUUACUCUUGUUACUUAUAUUUUGCUUCAGAAUUAGCUACAAUGGAAAUGAAAUAUAUAUAUAUAUAUAUAUAUAUAUAUAUAUAUAUAUAUAUAUAUAUAAUGGGCUUUUGAAAAAUCUGCAUCCUCUACUAAAGAAUGUUGCUGCCUAUCCCCUUAUUUUCUGCCGAGGGACACCGUUCAGAAGAAUUCUCUGUGAUGGGGAGAGAAAGGUCCACGGUAUCACUGAAGCAUUAAGAACAUGGAGACUCAAGACAGGAAGCCAAAGACCAAGGAACUUUGGGUCCUUGUUUUUCUCCCCCACAAGCUGGUUGAAGAAAUUCCAACAUUCUCCAGCAGAGAGUGGUGCCUGGGGAAUUCUUCCACAAACACAGGUUUGCAAGCAAACCAGGUGAAACGGAGAAGCUGAGCCUGAGGCAUGGAUAUGACUGAAUAGCCGUGAAAGGCAAGGAGCCCUUCAGCAGGACACUUACUCGGUUUGCAAAUAACAAAGGAUCAUAGGACCAUAGACUAUCAGGGUUCAAAGAAUCCUUUAGAGAUCAAAUAACCCAAUCCCAUUCCAUGUUAGAAUUCCAAGUUGAUCACCCCUUGAAAUGGGGGCUUCCUACUUUCCAGAGCAGGGCAGUUUUAAUUCUUAAAAAGUUCUACCAUUUGUUGAGACAACAUUUGCCUCCCUUGAACUUCUAUCCAUUGUUUUAAAAUUCUCAUUCUUUUGCUACAUGGUAAAUAGCCCUUUGGAAACAUGGUGAUGACAGCUCAUUCACCUGAGUCUUCUCCUUCUAACCUCCAAGCUCCCUCCUCCCCCAGCUUUCUCAACUGAUCCUCUAACAGUUCCAGUUGUUUCCAGUCCCACCACCAUCCGGACCCCUCUUUUGAUAUAAGGAAACAGAAGUGGAAUCAAUACUCAGGGAAUAAUUUUCAAACACUCAGAGCUGUUCAACAAUGGAUCAGAGGUUGAUUUGCAAUAUUAACGCUCGUAUGUAAAUUACACCUAGAAAAACAUUGGGUGAGGGGGAAACAAUUACCUCAUGUGGUGGACAUCUAGUUUUGUUUGUUCAACGUCCAUACUAUCUCCUAUGGGACUAGGAUUAAAAUUCACUUGGGUGAAGGGGCACAUAGGUGGCUCAGUUGGUUGAGCAUGGGACCCUUGAUUUCGGCUCAGAGCAUGAUCUCAUGGGUUACGGGAUAGAGCUCUGCAUUGGUCUCCCCACCAAGCAUGGAGCCCGCUUGGGAUUCUCCGUCUCCCUCUCUGCCUCUCCUUCCCCAAAAUAAAUAAAUAAACAUUAAAAAAAUAAAAUUCA
This 1350-nucleotide long non-coding RNA is filed under the name Felis catus (domestic cat). RNAcentral's name for it is "lncRNA (ENSFCAG00000046485.2)". Lineage: Eukaryota; Metazoa; Chordata; Mammalia; Carnivora; Felidae. The record is from RNAcentral.